This 449-nucleotide ribosomal RNA is filed under the name uncultured bacterium. RNAcentral's name for it is "bacterial SSU rRNA". It matches the Rfam family "Bacterial small subunit ribosomal RNA", at positions 329 to 795 of the family's 1533-position model. The record is from RNAcentral.
UUCCAGACUCCUACGGGAGGCAGCAGUGGGGAAUAUUGCACAAUGGGGGAAACCCUGAUGCAGCGACGCCGCGUGAGCGAUGAAGUAUUUCGGUAUGUAAAGCUCUAUCAGCAGGGAAGAAAAUGACGGUACCUGACUAAGAAGCCCCGGCUAACUACGUGCCAGCAGCCGCGGUAAUACGUAGGGGGCAAGCGUUAUCCGGAUUUACUGGGUGUAAAGGGAGCGUAGACGGCUGUGCAAGCCAGAUGUGAAAGCCCGGGGCUCAACCCCGGGACUGCAUUUGGAACUGUGUGGCUGGAGUGUCGGAGAGGCAGGCGGAAUUCCUAGUGUAGCGGUGAAAUGCGUAGAUAUUAGGAGGAACACCAGUGGCGAAGGCGGCCUGCUGGACGAUGACUGACGUUGAGGCUCGAAAGCGUGGGGAGCAAACAGGAUUAGAUACCCCGGUAACA